CCCAUCAUCACCCACACAAAAGCAAAUCAGAAGAAGGUGGUUGUGAUGGGCGAGUUCCUUCUGCUUUUGCUAGCCUGAGCAGAAAACCUCCUGCAUCUCUUCUAAGAAAGAAGUUGAUUUUCCUAGACACUCCAGUCUUGAGAGUUUAACCAUGAAGGCCACUUGGCUUCUUGGCGCCAUUCUCUUGAUGACCCUGGUCAUGGCUAAUGACCAAGGUAAAUCUUCACCUGAAGAUAAAGGUAAAUCUUCACCUGAAGAUAAAGGUAAAUCUUCACCUGAAGAUAAACCAGCUGAAUCGGAGUCAAAAGCAAAUGCUACUAUAAAUUCUGCUCACAUAAUGGUGUCUGAGGGUCCAGUUUUCUUUUUGCUGCCACUUAUGUGGAUGGUGGUCCAUCUUCUUCACAUGUAAUGAACCCGAAGCUUCACUUUUCGGGGGAACAUAAAGGUCCAUCAGUCCUACCCAAGUUUAAGGAAGGGAGUUCCUUUCCAUCGCUAACCGCUUAAUAAUCCAGCUGGCAUCCUGCUCUUGCUGCAAUAUAGUCCAUCAUGUUGGACUAUCCGUGAUUUCAUUGCAUUAGCCAAUUAAACAGGAAAAUGAAAAGAAAGCCAGGAAAAUGUCUGAUGUCAGUCCUAAAGUGCAUGCGUCUGUAUGCAGUGUUAUAUAUGACUGUCAUUGUUCAGAGGAAAUCUGCGGAAGAAGAGUUAUGAAAUAUCUCAGAUGCAUCUUCUGUGGCCUGAGAGAUAAUCCAGAUCAUACUUUCCUACAAAAGACACAAGAUUCUUUUGCAGAGGCUGUCUAGGAAUGGACAUAAGCCACAUACGCAGAUAUGGUAAUCAUGCCUCACCCAUUAUGGUGUCCCAUCCUACUGAUACUCUUUUUAUAUUUGGUCUCCCAAGCAACUAUGAUGUUACCUCUGGAGAAAUGUUUACAUCUUUUUCCGUGAAUCUGCCUUGUGAGAAUCCUUCUCUUGUCUCAAAGAAAGAAGGAACGCCUCUAUCCAGGAGGCUUCAUCUUGAGCUUCAGCAUUUCAAGACCAGAAUACCAGUAUUUGUACAGUAAAGCAACAUCUAGCGUGGUGGAUCCACCAGAUCAUCCUUUUUUUAACAGGACAGGAGAGGACAAUUGUUCAUCAGACUGGAAGUAACCAAACUGACAGAAUGUCAUUGAUUGUAAUUGCAUCUACGUUUAUGUGAAAUGUAAUCAAAAUUUUUGCAUUUGCUCCUUUGCAGAAAACAGCCCAACGUGAAAAUACUGACACAAGAUAGGAAUUUGGUUUAUAAAUUGCUUGCUGUUACCUUCUGUAAUAUAUGUGCAGGUUGAUUCAAAUAAAAGCUUCUUGCUAGCUGGC
Protobothrops mucrosquamatus (brown spotted pit viper) is the source of this 1349-nucleotide long non-coding RNA. RefSeq lists it as uncharacterized. The transcript has 2 exons. The record is from RefSeq and is a predicted model, not a curated record. NCBI's taxonomy places the organism in Eukaryota, Metazoa, Chordata, Lepidosauria, Squamata, Viperidae.